GUACAUAGUAGGUGUAUAUAUUAUGGGAUACAUGAAAUAUUUUGAUAUAGGCAUGCAGUGCAUAAUAAUCACAUCAUGGAGAAGUUUUUUUUUUGAGUCAGAGAAGUUUAAGUAAUUUUUAUGUAUAACUAAAAAAUUAAUAAUAAUAGAGAACUAAGAUCCCAGAUCUUAGUUCAAGGAGAAGUUCAAGGAUCCUUAAUUCAAGGAGAAGAAGAAUGAGGACUGAAGUGAGAACAGACUAAAGUUUUUAUCUUUUUGGAGGAGAGGACAGAACUGAUUAAUUCUGGUCAUUGAAAAAUUUAGAGGCUGGGUGUGGUGAGUUGCGCCUAUAAUCCCAAGGUCAAGGCAAGGAGGAUGGCUUGAGCCCAGGAGUUUGAGACCAGCCUGAGCAACGUAGUAAGACCUUGUCUCUAAAAAAGAAAUACAAAAAUUAGCUGGACUUGGUGGUUCAUGCCUGUAGUUCCAGCUACUUGGGAGGCCGAAGUGGGAGGAUCGUUUGAGCCUGGAAGGUUGAAGUUGCAGUGAGCCAAGAUCACACUACCGCACUCCAGCCUGGGCAACAGAGCCAGAUGCUGUCUCAAAAAAAAAAAAAAAAAAAUAGAAAGAAAGAAACUUAGUUGCCAUUGUAACAGUACUAAGAGAUGUGACCUUUAAGAGGUGUUUAGAUCAUGAGGGUGCCACCCUUGUGAGUGGACUAAUGUCAGACUGCAGGAAUGGGUUCUCAUUAUCACAGGAGUGGCUUCAACCCUUCUUGCUCUCUCUCUUACUUUUCUUUUCUUUUCAGAUGGAGUCUCACUCUGUCAUCCAGGCUGGAGUGCAGUGGCACAAUCCUGACUCACUGCAACCUCCACCUCCCAGGAGAAUCUCUUGAACCUGAGAGGCGGAGGUUGUGGUGAGCCGAGAUCACACCACUGCACUCCAGUCUAGGUGACAGAGUGAGACCCUGUCCCAAAAAAAUAAAAUAAAAUAAAGAAUUAUGAACUAGAGAGUGGAUCUGAAAAUAUUACACAGAAAACAAUAUUAUACAGAAUACAGUA
Molecule: long non-coding RNA, 1037 nt
Filed under: Pongo abelii (Sumatran orangutan)
Lineage: Eukaryota; Metazoa; Chordata; Mammalia; Primates; Hominidae
Description: lincRNA
Source: RNAcentral